Molecule: transfer RNA, 69 nt
Filed under: Torymus sp. ZJUH_2016035
Lineage: Eukaryota; Metazoa; Arthropoda; Insecta; Hymenoptera; Torymidae
Description: tRNA-Gln
Source: RNAcentral
UAUAUAUUAGUGUAAAAAGCACAAAAAUUUUUGAAAUUUUUAGUAAUAAAUAAUAUUUAUUAUAUAUAU